Molecule: long non-coding RNA, 756 nt
Filed under: Anas platyrhynchos platyrhynchos (common mallard)
Lineage: Eukaryota; Metazoa; Chordata; Aves; Anseriformes; Anatidae
Description: lncRNA (ENSAPLG00000018074.1)
Source: RNAcentral
UGUAGACCAACGCAGAAAUACUGAUGUGCUUUAGAACAAAUAUUACUUCAUACUUGGCAGGCCUAUAGAUAACCAAAACUUUUUUUUUUUUUCCAUUUUCAGGAGUGCUUCAUGCCAGUUUGUGUUUGCUUACUUCACCACUGAGAGCAGUAAAUCAGUGCAAAAAUUUUGGCACCAAGUUGGCAUUUGUAUCCUUCCUCCUGUAUCUUUUUUUUUUUUUUUAAUUUUCCACUAAAGAUUUUCAAGCCCCAAAUGAAAAAAGAUAUAGGAAGUGACCAGUGCUUACUUCCUUUGAAAUUAAAACCAAAUCCUCAUCUCAGUUCUAGUCAGUGGGUUUAAGUUCUGUUGACUGUGUAGCCUGGAGUCCAGCCACAGAUGUUCCUGAUGCCCCAUUACAUAGACAAACCAGUACAAAGCUAAUUUAUUAGUUAUAUAACUUAUCUUUCCUUACCCCAUCUUUAUUUGUAAGACCACUUUGAAAAAGAGUAAUUUUCUGUGUUGAUAUAUCAGUAUGGAAUUUAUUUCUUCCCUUUUUGGUUUGGCAUAAGAUAGACCAAAACAUCAGGUUUUAUGUGGGUGAUAGUCCAAAAUGGACAGAGGUAGUGAAAGGAUGAUAUCAUUAUUUGCAGUUUUUAUUCUGAAGAGAUGAAAAAUGCAGAGUUUUUGUCUAGUAAGUGCUUCUGCUUUCUCUAACAAAGUUGUGGACAGAUAGUUGAAAACAGAUACCCUGUAACUUACAGCUUGAUAUCCAGCUUG